RNAcentral lists this ribosomal RNA (408 nucleotides) under uncultured bacterium. RNAcentral's name for it is "partial 16S ribosomal RNA". It matches the Rfam family "Bacterial small subunit ribosomal RNA", at positions 28 to 526 of the family's 1533-position model. The record is from RNAcentral.
GACGAACGCUGGCGGCGUGCUUAACACAUGCAAGUCGAACGAAGUGGCGAACGGGUGAGUAACGCGUAAUCAACCUGCCCUUAAGAGGGGGACAACAGGUGGAAACGACUGCUACUACCUCAUACUGAAGGUGGGGAUUGAGUCUGAUUAGGUAGUUGGAGGGGUAACGGCCCACCAAGGCGAUGAUCAGUAGCCGGUUUGAGGUGAAGAACGGCCAAAUUUGGACGGGGAAACGGCCCAGACUACUAGGGGAGGCAGCAGUGGGGAAUCUUCCGAAAUGGACGAAAGGCUGGCUGCGCAACUCCGCGUGAGUGAUGACGGGCUUCGGGUUGUAAAGCUAUGUUAAUCGGGACGCGGUACCGGAAGAGAAAGCCACGGCUAACUACGUGCCAGCAGCCGCGGUAAUUC